Molecule: long non-coding RNA, 205 nt
Filed under: Elaeis guineensis (African oil palm)
Lineage: Eukaryota; Viridiplantae; Streptophyta; Magnoliopsida; Arecales; Arecaceae
Description: long non-coding RNA (EGUI_LNC040421)
Source: RNAcentral
CAGUUCCAAACAUAUUCAAUCUUUUAAAUCAUCACGAACUCCUUUCUCGUCUCGAUCUCUGUUCAACGUCUUGCUCUAACUGAUCCCGCACGAACGUGAAUGCAUGUCUGCUUGCUGUCCACAUCCAAUCGCACUCAGGUGAUCGUUUAGGGUUUGAAUCCAAUGCUCUCCCAAGUCUGAACUGCGCACACACCAGUCGCCCGCA